AGUGAACGCUGGCGGUAGGCCUAACACAUGCAAGUCGAACGGCAGCACAGUAAGAGCUUGCUCUUACGGGUGGCGAGUGGCGGACGGGUGAGGAAUACAUCGGAAUCUACUUUUUCGUGGGGGAUAACGUGGGAAAACUUCCGCUAAUACCGCAUACUACCAACGGCUGAAAUCAGGGGUUCUUCGCACUUUUGCCGAUUCAUUGAGCCGAUGCCGGAUUAGCUAGUUGGCAGGGUAAGGUCCCACCAAGGCGACGAUCCGUAGCAGAUCUGAGAGGAUGAUCAGCCACACUGGAACUGAGGCACGGUCCAGACUCCUACGGGAGGCAGCAGUGGGGAAUAUUGGACAAUGGGCGCAAGCCUGAUCCAGCCAUACCGCGUGGGUGAAGAAGGCCUUCGGGUUGUAAAGCCCUUUUGUUGGGAAAGAAAAGCAGCAGGUUAAUACCCCGCUGUUCUGACGGUACCCAAAGAAUAAGCACCGGCUAACUUCGUG
RNAcentral lists this ribosomal RNA (492 nucleotides) under uncultured bacterium. RNAcentral's name for it is "partial 16S ribosomal RNA". It matches the Rfam family "Bacterial small subunit ribosomal RNA", at positions 29 to 507 of the family's 1533-position model. The record is from RNAcentral.